CUUGCUGAAUAUUUCAAAAUCAUAAAGAAUUUGUAGAUCAAAAUUAAAUUGAUGUUGGAGAGAGAUCAUCUAUUCAGUUUAAUAACUGAAACUGAAUACUAAUGACAAUGAUGAGGGCUUUUAUUUUGGAGUGGAGCUGUGACGUCAUGCGGCUGCUGUGUUUCUCGGCUGAGGAAAGAUCAGUGUUUUGAAGCAUUCAGCGUUAAAGUCACAGCAAACCGUUCAGACCUGAUGGCGAUAAAAGAGGAGAAUGAAGAAUUGGAUGAAACACAAGAGAAAGACCAUCAUGAUUUCACAACUGGAGAAAAAUCAUUUAGUUGCUCACAGACUGAAAAGACUUCCUCACGAAAAACAGCA
Long non-coding RNA from Onychostoma macrolepis, 357 nucleotides. RefSeq lists it as uncharacterized. The record is from RefSeq and is a predicted model, not a curated record. NCBI's taxonomy places the organism in Eukaryota, Metazoa, Chordata, Actinopteri, Cypriniformes, Cyprinidae. The transcript is spliced from 3 exons.